Molecule: ribosomal RNA, 514 nt
Filed under: uncultured bacterium
Lineage: Bacteria
Description: partial 16S ribosomal RNA
Rfam family: Bacterial small subunit ribosomal RNA
Source: RNAcentral
GAUGAACGCUGGCGGCGUGCCUAAUACAUGCAAGUCGAGCGAAUGGAUUAAGAGCUUGCUCUUAUGAAGUUAGCGGCGGACGGGUGAGUAACACGUGGGUAACCUGCCCAUAAGACUGGGAUAACUCCGGGAAACCGGGGCUAAUACCGGAUAACAUUUUGAACCGCAUGGUUCGAAAUUGAAAGGCGGCUUCGGCUGUCACUUAUGGAUGGACCCGCGGCGCAUUAGCUAGUUGGGGAGGUACGGCUAACCAAGGCAACGAUGCGUAGCCGACCUGAGAGGGUGAUCGGCCACACUGGGACUGAGACACGGCCCAGACUCCUACGGGAGGCAGCAGUAGGGAAUCUUCCGCAAUGGACGAAAGUCUGACGGAGCAACGUCGCGUGAGUGAUGAAGGCUUUCGGGUCGUAAAACUCUGUUGAUAGGGAAGAACAAGUGCUAGUUGAAUAAGCUGGCACCUUGACGGUACCUAACCAGAAAGCCACGGCUAACUACGUGCCAGCCGCCGCGGUAA